RNAcentral lists this ribosomal RNA (877 nucleotides) under Russula mediterraneensis. RNAcentral describes it as "partial large subunit ribosomal RNA". It matches the Rfam family "Eukaryotic large subunit ribosomal RNA", at positions 65 to 921 of the family's 3401-position model. The record is from RNAcentral. Lineage: Eukaryota; Fungi; Basidiomycota; Agaricomycetes; Russulales; Russulaceae.
CUAACAGGAUUCCCCUAGUAACUGCGAGUGAAGCGGGAAAAGCUCAAAUUUAAAAUCUGGUGGUCUUUGGCCAUCCGAGUUGUAAUUUAGAGAAGCGUCUUCCGCGCUGGGCCGUGCACAAGUCUCCUGGAAUGGAGCGUCACAGAGGGUGAGAAUCCCGUCUUUGGCAUGGACACACCAGGGCUUUUGUGAUGCGCUCUCGAAGAGUCGAGUUGUUUGGGAAUGCAGCUCAAAAUGGGUGGUGAACUCCAUCUAAAGCUAAAUAUUGGCGAGAGACCGAUAGCGAACAAGUACCGUGAGGGAAAGAUGAAAAGCACUUUGGAAAGAGAGUGAAACAGUACGUGAAAUUGUUGAAAGGGAAACGCUUGAAGUCAGUCGCGUCGACCGAGACUCAGCCUUGCCUUGGCUUGGUGUACUUCUCGGCUGACGGGUCAGCAUCAAUUUUGCCCCUUGGAUAAUGAUGGGGGAAAUGUGACACCUUUACGGUGUGUUAUAGUCUCUCGUCGCAUGCAAGGGUCGGGAUUGAGGAACUCAGCACGCACCUUUGGGUGUCGGGGCUUUGCCCACGAUACGUGCUUAGGAUGUUGGCGUAAUGGCUUUAAACGACCCGUCUUGAAACACGGACCAAGGAGUCUAACAUGCCUGCGAGUGUUCGGGUGGAAAACCCGUGCGCGUAAUGAAAGUAAAAGUUGGGACCUCUGUCGUGGAGGGCACCGACGCCCGGACCAGACCUUCUGUGACGGCUCUGCGGUAAAGCAUGUAUGUUAGGACCCGAAAGAUGGUGAACUAUGCCUGAAUAGGGUGAAGCCAGAGGAAACUCUGGUGGAGGCUCGUAGCGAUUCUGACGUGCAAAUCGAUCGUCAAAUUUGGGUAUAGG